UAGGGAAUAUUAGAAAUGGACGAAAGUCUGAAGCAGCAACGCCGCGUGUGCGAUGAAGGCCUUCGGGUUGUAAAGCACUUUUUGAGGGGAUGAGGAAGGACAGUACCCUCAGAAUAAGCCUCGGCUAACUACGUGCCAGCAGCCGCGGUAACACGUAGGAGGCGAGCGUUAUCCGGAUUUACUGGGUGUAAAGCGCGUGCAGGCGGUUCAGAAAGUUGGAUGUGAAAGCUCCUGGCUUAACUGGGAGAGGUCGUUCAAUACUUCUGGACUCGAGAGUGGGAGAGGGAGGUGGAAUUCCGGGUGUAGUGGUGAAAUGCGUAGAUAUCCGGAGGAACACCAGUGGCGAAAGCGGCCUCCUGGCCCAUUUCUGACGCUCAGACGCGAAAGCUAGGGUAGCAAACG
This 402-nucleotide ribosomal RNA is filed under the name uncultured prokaryote. Its description in RNAcentral is "bacterial SSU rRNA". It matches the Rfam family "Bacterial small subunit ribosomal RNA", at positions 355 to 774 of the family's 1533-position model. The record is from RNAcentral.